UUAAGCGACUAAGCGUACACGGUGGAUGCCCUGGCAGUCAGAGGCGAUGAAGGACGUGCUAAUCUGCGAAAAGCGUCGGUAAGGUGAUAUGAACCGUUAUAACCGGCGAUGUCCGAAUGGGGAAACCCAGUGCAAUUCGUUGCACUAUCGUUAACUGAAUACAUAGGUUAACGAGGCGAACCGGGGGAACUGAAACAUCUAAGUACCCCGAGGAAAAGAAAUCAACCGAGAUUCCCCCAGUAGCGGCGAGCGAACGGGGAGCAGCCCAGAGUCUGAAUCAGCUUGUGUGUUAGUGGAACGGUCUGGAAAGUCCGACGGUACAGGGUGAUAGUCCCGUACACCAAAAUGCACAGGCUGUGAACUCGAAGAGUAGGGCGGGACACGUGGUAUCCUGUCUGAAUAUGGGGGGACCAUCCUCCAAGGCUAAAUACUCCUGACUGACCGAUAGUGAACCAGUACCGUGAGGGAAAGGCGAAAAGAACCCCGGCGAGGGGAGUGAAAAAGAACCUGAAACCGUGUACGUACAAGCAGUGGGAGCACCUUCGGGUGUGACUGCGUACCUUUUGUAUAAUGGGUCAGCGACUUAUAUUCUGUAGCAAGGUUAACCGUAUAGGGGAGCCGCAGGGAAACCGAGUCUUAACUGGGCGUUAAGUUGCAGGGUAUAGACCCGAAACCCGGUGAUCUAGCCAUGGGCAGGUUGAAGGUUGGGUAACACUAACUGGAGGACCGAACCGACUAAUGUUGAAAAAUUAGCGGAUGACUUGUGGCUGGGGGUGAAAGGCCAAUCAAACCGGGAGAUAGCUGGUUCUCCCCGAAAGCUAUUUAGGUAGCGCCUCGUGAAUUCAUCUUCGGGGGUAGAGCACUGUUUCGGCUAGGGGGUCAUCCCGACUUACCAACCCGAUGCAAACUACGAAUACCGAAGAAUGUUAUCACGGGAGACACACGGCGGGUGCUAACGUCCGUCGUGAAGAGGGAAACAACCCAGACCGCCAGCUAAGGUCCCAAAGUCAUGGUUAAGUGGGAAACGAUGUGGGAAGGCACAGACAGCCAGGAUGUUGGCUUAGAAGCAGCCAUCAUUUAAAGAAAGCGUAAUAGCUCACUGGUCGAGUCGGCCUGCGCGGAAGAUGUAACGGGGCUAAACCAUGCACCGAAGCUGCGGCAGCGACACUAUGUGUUGUUGGGUAGGGGAGCGUUCUGUAAGCCUGCGAAGGUGACCUGUGAGGGUUGCUGGAGGUAUCAGAAGUGCGAAUGCUGACAUAAGUAACGAUAAAGCGGGUGAAAAGCCCGCUCGCCGGAAGACCAAGGGUUCCUGUCCAACGUUAAUCGGGGCAGGGUGAGUCGACCCCUAAGGCGAGGCCGAAAGGCGUAGUCGAUGGGAAACAGGUUAAUAUUCCUGUACUUGGUGUUACUGCGAAGGGGGGACGGAGAAGGCUAUGUUAGCCGGGCGACGGUUGUCCCGGUUUAAGCAUGUAGGCUGGUUAUCCAGGCAAAUCCGGAUAAUCAAGGCUGAGGUGUGAUGACGAGGCACUACGGUGCUGAAGUAACAAAUGCCCUGCUUCCAGGAAAAGCCUCUAAGCAUCAGGUAACAUCAAAUCGUACCCCAAACCGACACAGGUGGUCAGGUAGAGAAUACCAAGGCGCUUGAGAGAACUCGGGUGAAGGAACUAGGCAAAAUGGUGCCGUAACUUCGGGAGAAGGCACGCUGGUGUGUAGGUGAAGCCCCUGCGGGUGGAGCUGAGACCAGUCGAAGAUACCAGCUGGCUGCAACUGUUUAUUAAAAACACAGCACUGUGCAAACACGAAAGUGGACGUAUACGGUGUGACGCCUGCCCGGUGCCGGAAGGUUAAUUGAUGGGGUUAUCCGUAAGGAGAAGCUCUUGAUCGAAGCCCCGGUAAACGGCGGCCGUAACUAUAACGGUCCUAAGGUAGCGAAAUUCCUUGUCGGGUAAGUUCCGACCUGCACGAAUGGCGUAAUGAUGGCCAGGCUGUCUCCACCCGAGACUCAGUGAAAUUGAACUCGCUGUGAAGAUGCAGUGUACCCGCGGCAAGACGGAAAGACCCCGUGAACCUUUACUAUAGCUUGACACUGAACAUUGAGCCUUGAUGUGUAGGAUAGGUGGGAGGCUUUGAAGCGUGGACGCCAGUCUGCGUGGAGCCAACCUUGAAAUACCACCCUUUAAUGUUUGAUGUUCUAACGUUGGCCCCUGACCGGGGUUGCGGACAGUGUCUGGUGGGUAGUUUGACUGGGGCGGUCUCCUCCCAAAGCGUAACGGAGGAGCACGAAGGUUAGCUAAUCCUGGUCGGACAUCAGGAGGUUAGUGCAAUGGCAUAAGCUAGCUUGACUGCGAGCGUGACGGCGCGAGCAGGUGCGAAAGCAGGUCAUAGUGAUCCGGUGGUUCUGAAUGGAAGGGCCAUCGCUCAACGGAUAAAAGGUACUCCGGGGAUAACAGGCUGAUACCGCCCAAGAGUUCAUAUCGACGGCGGUGUUUGGCACCUCGAUGUCGGCUCAUCACAUCCUGGGGCUGAAGUAGGUCCCAAGGGUAUGGCUGUUCGCCAUUUAAAGUGGUACGCGAGCUGGGUUUAGAACGUCGUGAGACAGUUCGGUCCCUAUCUGCCGUGGGCGCUGGAGAAUUGAGGGGGGCUGCUCCUAGUACGAGAGGACCGGAGUGGACGCAUCACUGGUGUUCGGGUUGUCAUGCCAAUGGCACUGCCCGGUAGCUAAAUGCGGAAGAGAUAAGUGCUGAAAGCAUCUAAGCACGAAACUUGCCCCGAGAUGAGUUCUCCCUGAGACUUUAAGUCUCCUGAAGGAACGUUGAAGACGACGACGUUGAUAGGCCGGGUGUGUAAGCGCAGCGAUGCGUUGAGCUAACCGGUACUAAUGAACCGUGAGGCUUAACCU
Molecule: ribosomal RNA, 2899 nt
Filed under: Klebsiella pneumoniae
Lineage: Bacteria; Pseudomonadati; Pseudomonadota; Gammaproteobacteria; Enterobacterales; Enterobacteriaceae
Description: bacterial LSU rRNA
Rfam family: Bacterial large subunit ribosomal RNA
Source: RNAcentral